UAGGGAAUCUUCCACAAUGGACGCAAGUCUGAUGGAGCAACGCCGCGUGAGUGAAGAAGGUUUUCGGACCGUAAAGCUCUGUUGUUGGUGAAGAAGGAUAGAGGUAGUAACUGGCCUUUAUUUGACGGUAAUCAACCAGAAAGUCACGGCUAACUACGUGCCAGCAGCCGCGGUAAUCGUAGGUGGCAAGCGUUGUCCGGAUUUAUUGGGCGUAAAGCGAGCGCAGGCGGAAGAAUAAGUCUGAUGUGAAAGCCCUCGGCUUAACCGAGGAAUUGCAUCGGAAACUGUUUUCUUGAGUGCAGAAGAGGAGAGUAGAACUCCAUGUGUAGCGGUGGAAUGCGUAGAUAUAUGGAAGAAUACCAGUGGCGAAGGCGGCUCUCUGGUCUGCAACUGACGCUGAGGCUCGAAAAGCAUGGGUAGCGAACAGGAUUAGAUACCCUGGUAGUCCAUGCCGUAAAACGAUGAGUGCUAAGUGUUGGGAGGCUUCCGCCUCUCAGUGCUGCAGCUAACGCAUUAAGCACUCCGCCUGGGGGAGUACGACCG
RNAcentral lists this ribosomal RNA (543 nucleotides) under uncultured bacterium. RNAcentral describes it as "partial 16S ribosomal RNA". It matches the Rfam family "Bacterial small subunit ribosomal RNA", at positions 355 to 888 of the family's 1533-position model. The record is from RNAcentral.